UCCUAUAUCCAAGUAUCCCUUCUAAAACAGCUCUUCCUACUCUUUCAUCAUCGUUACACCUCUCCUGCACUGUGCUUUGCUGUCCCAGUCAGUGUUUCAUUGCCAGGGAACUGCCUGCACUUCACAGAGAUACAGCAGAUGUCACCCAUUCAUGGUGGAGCUGCAGGUUCCUGUCCUAUCUCGCAGAGCUUUGCUCUGGGGCUGGAUGAGAGACUGCUUUUCAAUCACUCUUCAUUGUUUGGACCAGAUAAUCCACCACAGUUGAAGCCACAACUCUUCCCUGUUUGUGCUGCCUGUCCCACCUGUGGUGUGAAGGGAAACCUGCUUUAUCAACAAGAGUAAUGUCUUAAACUGGGUCCAUCCAGAUAAAAAGCUCUAAUACUCUUGAAUAGAAUACACUGAUUUAAAUCCUAAACUUCCUUCAGCAACCUCAGCCUCAUCCUGCACUUAGGCAAAACCAAAAUAACUGUACAGCAAAAAUUCAGGCUACUGAAGGAUGACAAAUGUUGGAGGAAAAGUGAGAAAUUAUUUUCAGAGGUGGGGAAGCUGAAGGCAGACGCCUCCUGAUGUGAGACUGGGCAAAUUGGGAAACAUGGAGGCUGGAACAGUCUCCAGAGUGUUUGGUUCUUUCUGCUGCUCAUUUGCAGUUCAGGGUGAGCACCUGAAGAAUGCAGCCUUGUCACAGGAGAACACGUCCUGGAGCACCACACAGAUAUAAAAGAGAGAAACAACAACACAUCUUUAAUUAAUGAGAGAUUCUGUCCCUGUGGGUCCAUCUCUCGUGUCUCAGAUGAUGCAUCAAACUUAGUCUGUCCUGCCCUGCCAUGCAGCCAGCCAGGCCUCUGGCAAGAGAUUAUCCCCUGGAUGUCAAACAGCAGCUCAGGCCCCAGAAAUCACAUCAGCCCAAGGAUAAACAGCAUAUCAACAAAACCAUUAACUGCAGCAGUAACAAACACAUUCACUCCCCGUCCUUUGCUCCCCCUUCCUGAGCCAUUAGACCCCAUUUUCAAACACUUCUGGAAAUAGGUUGAAUGGAAAUAGACCCUGGGAUUCCCUCCUGGCCAGGGCUGUGCGAGGUAUCACAGGAGCCCUGAUGAAAUGACAAGCACUGAAAUACAAGAACAGAUUUCUGUUCUUUUGUGAAGAAAUUGAUUUUUGCCAGAAACAACAUGCUGCAACCCAGCGUCUAUUCUUGUUAGACUUCAAGUCCUUCCAGGAGGAGUCCUUCAGCAAAUUGGCUCAUUUAGACACAACAGCCAGGAGCAU
This is a long non-coding RNA of Poecile atricapillus (Black-capped chickadee), 1266 nucleotides long. RefSeq lists it as uncharacterized. The record is from RefSeq and is a predicted model, not a curated record. NCBI's taxonomy places the organism in Eukaryota, Metazoa, Chordata, Aves, Passeriformes, Paridae. The transcript has 3 exons.